This 372-nucleotide ribosomal RNA is filed under the name uncultured bacterium. RNAcentral describes it as "bacterial SSU rRNA". It matches the Rfam family "Bacterial small subunit ribosomal RNA", at positions 28 to 408 of the family's 1533-position model. The record is from RNAcentral.
GACGAACGCUGGCGGCGUGCCUAACACAUGCAAGUCGAACGGGACCGCAAGGUUCAGUGGCGGACGGGUGCGUAACACGUGAGGAACAUAGCCAACGGCGGGGGAUAGCCGGCCCAACGGCCGGGUAAUACCGCGUACGACCGUUUGGGGGGCAUCCCCUGGAGGUGAAAGCAGCAAUGCGCCGAUGGGGUGCCUCGCGGCCUAUCAGCUAGUUGGUGAGGUAACGGCUCACCAAGGCUACGCCGGGAGCUGGUCCGAGAGGAUGACCAGCCACAUUGGGACUGAGACACGGCCCAGACUCCUACGGGAGGCAGCAGUGGGGAAUAUUGCGCAAUGGGGCGAAAGCCUGACGCAGCGACGCCGCGUGUGGGA